GGAGACAGAGGUGAGGAGUCAUCAACACAUGAGGUCAAAGGUCAGUCAGUACAGCAGGAAGAAGGAAAAUCUACAGUCAUACUUCAUUCAUUCAUUACAACAUCUGAUCCUGUUCAUGAUCCUGAUUAUUACAGUGAAAGCUCUUCUUCUGAUGCUGGUUGCCUUCUGUUUUCUGUCCCGAUGACCCCACACUGCUUCAACAAGUUUGAGAUCCUCUGGAGAGGUCAAUCCAUGACUGAUUGUGUGCAAUGUAUGCACUUCUAUUGAGCUGUACUUUUAAUGCUAAAGAAGCUGCCAGUCUGAUUUUUUUUUCCAGAUUUUAUUUCAUAGUGUACAAAAUCUGAAGGUAUCUGAAUCGGCAUUCAUAAUUGCAUCAAUUUUGACUGGCUGAAAUACAUCCCCAAACUAGGACUCGACAUUUACAAAUGAUUUAUAGAUGACUGUAGAGACUCGCUGUUGUACCACUCUCCUUACCUCUUUUUUAUAUACAGAUCAUGAAUUGAACUAAAUGUUUUAAAUUUGGUAUAAUAACUCUAUAAGACCUAUUGCUACUGCAUCCCAUUUCUUGUGAAGCAGGGGAAGUGAGUUCAUUCAAAGAUAUGGUGAGGUCAGUAAUUCAAGAGGGACUCAGAGUAGAGUUGCUAAUCCUACACAUCGAAAGGAGACAGUUGAGGUGGUUCGGGCAUCUGAUUAGGAUGACUCCUGGACGCAACACCGCCUACUGGUGUUGGCCAGAGGGGCCGAUGGCGCGAUAUGGCAGCCUCGCUUCUGUCAGUCUGCCCCAGGGCAGCUGUGGCUACAACUGUGGUUUGCCUGUGUAGCCGGAGGGGCUACUUGCUUUUUCUUUCUCUCUCGCCCCCACUGGCGCUACUGCUUUCUCUCUCUCUCUCUCCUGUGCUUGCUCCCGCUGCGCGCUUACGUCAACUAGGAGCCCACCUGUAUAUUGAUUACAGGGCGGCGUUUACCUGUAUAAAGAGCAGCCGGGUUCUUUUGUUGGAUUAUUUCCUCCCGAGCUUCUGGUACGCUAUAGCGGUAGACGCUGGCUUGUGGUUAAAUUACUGAGGCGAUCGGGUCGUGCGAUUGCUACAGCCGUGGUGAGGAGACGCGUGAGUGCAUCCGCCGUGCAAUACAGCGCCUCCAAGUUCUGGGCGAACUGAGGAUCUACCAGCGGCCGUGGGACCUUAGGUGGCGGGUCGUUUUCCACACUUCUUUUGUUGUACAGCACCAGGUGAAUAGACUAUAGUAGGUUUUUUUGUGUGGUUUUCUUUUGGUCCACCGCUGCUGGUAAGUCCCAGUUGUAUUUAUUUUUAUUGUAAUUUGGGACACCG
Pelmatolapia mariae (spotted tilapia) is the source of this 1328-nucleotide long non-coding RNA. RefSeq lists it as uncharacterized. The record is from RefSeq and is a predicted model, not a curated record. NCBI's taxonomy places the organism in Eukaryota, Metazoa, Chordata, Actinopteri, Cichliformes, Cichlidae. The transcript has 3 exons.